RNAcentral lists this ribosomal RNA (2932 nucleotides) under Enterobacter cloacae. RNAcentral describes it as "bacterial LSU rRNA". It matches the Rfam family "Bacterial large subunit ribosomal RNA". The record is from RNAcentral. Lineage: Bacteria; Pseudomonadati; Pseudomonadota; Gammaproteobacteria; Enterobacterales; Enterobacteriaceae. RNAcentral also lists the same sequence under 1 other name.
GGGUUGUGAGGUUAAGCGACUAAGCGUACACGGUGGAUGCCCUGGCAGUCAGAGGCGAUGAAGGACGUGCUAAUCUGCGAAAAGCGCCGGCGAGGUGAUAUGAACCUUUGACCCGGCGAUGUCCGAAUGGGGAAACCCAGUGUGUUCCGACACACUAUCGUUAACUGAAUACAUAGGUUAACGAGGCGAACCGGGGGAACUGAAACAUCUAAGUACCCCGAGGAAAAGAAAUCAACCGAGAUUCCCCCAGUAGCGGCGAGCGAACGGGGAGCAGCCCAGAGUCUGAAUCAGCUUGUGUGUUAGUGGAAGCGUCUGGAAAGUCGCACGGUACAGGGUGACAGUCCCGUACACGAAAAUGCACAGGUUGUGAACUCGAAGAGUAGGGCGGGACACGUGGUAUCCUGUCUGAAUAUGGGGGGACCAUCCUCCAAGGCUAAAUACUCCUGACUGACCGAUAGUGAACCAGUACCGUGAGGGAAAGGCGAAAAGAACCCCGGCGAGGGGAGUGAAAAAGAACCUGAAACCGUGUACGUACAAGCAGUGGGAGCACCUUCGUGGUGUGACUGCGUACCUUUUGUAUAAUGGGUCAGCGACUUAUAUUCUGUAGCAAGGUUAACCGUAUAGGGGAGCCGAAGGGAAACCGAGUCUUAACUGGGCGUUAAGUUGCAGGGUAUAGACCCGAAACCCGGUGAUCUAGCCAUGGGCAGGUUGAAGGUUGGGUAACACUAACUGGAGGACCGAACCGACUAAUGUUGAAAAAUUAGCGGAUGACUUGUGGCUGGGGGUGAAAGGCCAAUCAAACCGGGAGAUAGCUGGUUCUCCCCGAAAGCUAUUUAGGUAGCGCCUCGUGAACUCAUCUUCGGGGGUAGAGCACUGUUUCGGCUAGGGGGCCAUCCCGGCUUACCAACCCGAUGCAAACUACGAAUACCGAAGAAUGUUAUCACGGGAGACACACGGCGGGUGCUAACGUCCGUCGUGAAGAGGGAAACAACCCAGACCGCCAGCUAAGGUCCCAAAGUCAUGGUUAAGUGGGAAACGAUGUGGGAAGGCACAGACAGCCAGGAUGUUGGCUUAGAAGCAGCCAUCAUUUAAAGAAAGCGUAAUAGCUCACUGGUCGAGUCGGCCUGCGCGGAAGAUGUAACGGGGCUAAACCAUGCACCGAAGCUGCGGCAGCGACGCUUAUGCGUUGUUGGGUAGGGGAGCGUUCUGUAAGCCGUUGAAGGUGUGCUGUGAGGCAUGCUGGAGGUAUCAGAAGUGCGAAUGCUGACAUAAGUAACGAUAAAGCGGGUGAAAAGCCCGCUCGCCGGAAGACCAAGGGUUCCUGUCCAACGUUAAUCGGGGCAGGGUGAGUCGACCCCUAAGGCGAGGCCGAAAGGCGUAGUCGAUGGGAAACAGGUUAAUAUUCCUGUACUUGGUGUUACUGCGAAGGGGGGACGGAGAAGGCUAUGUUAGCCGGGCGACGGUUGUCCCGGUUUAAGCAUGUAGGCGGAGGUUCCAGGUAAAUCCGGUACCUUUUAACGCUGAGGUGUGAUGACGAGGCACUACGGUGCUGAAGUAACAAAUGCCCUGCUUCCAGGAAAAGCCUCUAAGCAUCAGGUAACAUCAAAUCGUACCCCAAACCGACACAGGUGGUCAGGUAGAGAAUACCAAGGCGCUUGAGAGAACUCGGGUGAAGGAACUAGGCAAAAUGGUGCCGUAACUUCGGGAGAAGGCACGCUGAUAUGUAGGUGAAGCCCCUGCGGGUGGAGCUGAAAUCAGUCGAAGAUACCAGCUGGCUGCAACUGUUUAUUAAAAACACAGCACUGUGCAAACACGAAAGUGGACGUAUACGGUGUGACGCCUGCCCGGUGCCGGAAGGUUAAUUGAUGGGGUUAGCGGCAACGCGAAGCUCUUGAUCGAAGCCCCGGUAAACGGCGGCCGUAACUAUAACGGUCCUAAGGUAGCGAAAUUCCUUGUCGGGUAAGUUCCGACCUGCACGAAUGGCGUAAUGAUGGCCAGGCUGUCUCCACCCGAGACUCAGUGAAAUUGAACUCGCUGUGAAGAUGCAGUGUACCCGCGGCAAGACGGAAAGACCCCGUGAACCUUUACUAUAGCUUGACACUGAACACUGGUCCUUGAUGUGUAGGAUAGGUGGGAGGCUUUGAAGUGUGGACGCCAGUCUGCAUGGAGCCGUCCUUGAAAUACCACCCUUUAAUGGCUGGUGUUCUAACGUAGACCCGUAAUCCGGGUUGCGGACAGUGUCUGGUGGGUAGUUUGACUGGGGCGGUCUCCUCCCAAAGAGUAACGGAGGAGCACGAAGGUUAGCUAAUCCUGGUCGGACAUCAGGAGGUUAGUGCAAUGGCAUAAGCUAGCUUGACUGCGAGAGUGACGGCUCGAGCAGGUGCGAAAGCAGGUCAUAGUGAUCCGGUGGUUCUGAAUGGAAGGGCCAUCGCUCAACGGAUAAAAGGUACUCCGGGGAUAACAGGCUGAUACCGCCCAAGAGUUCAUAUCGACGGCGGUGUUUGGCACCUCGAUGUCGGCUCAUCACAUCCUGGGGCUGAAGUAGGUCCCAAGGGUAUGGCUGUUCGCCAUUUAAAGUGGUACGCGAGCUGGGUUUAGAACGUCGUGAGACAGUUCGGUCCCUAUCUGCCGUGGGCGCUGGAGAAUUGAGGGGGGCUGCUCCUAGUACGAGAGGACCGGAGUGGACGCAUCACUGGUGUUCGGGUUGUCAUGCCAAUGGCACUGCCCGGUAGCUAAAUGCGGAAAAGAUAAGUGCUGAAAGCAUCUAAGCACGAAACUUGCCCCGAGAUGAGUUCUCCCUGAGACUUUAAGUCUCCUGAAGGAACGUUGAAGACGACGACGUUGAUAGGUCGGGUGUGUAAGCGCAGCGAUGCGUUGAGCUAACCGAUACUAAUGAACCGUGAGGCUUAACCUUACAACGCCGAAGGUGUUU